Molecule: ribosomal RNA, 651 nt
Filed under: Rheinheimera aquatica
Lineage: Bacteria; Pseudomonadati; Pseudomonadota; Gammaproteobacteria; Chromatiales; Chromatiaceae
Description: bacterial SSU rRNA
Rfam family: Bacterial small subunit ribosomal RNA
Source: RNAcentral
GGGUGAGUAAUGCGUAGGAAGCUACCCGAUAGAGGGGGAUACCAGUUGGAAACGACUGUUAAUACCGCAUAAUGUCUACGGACCAAAGUGUGGGACCUUCGGGCCACAUGCUAUCGGAUGUGCCUACGUGGGAUUAGCUAGUUGGUGAGGUAAUGGCUCACCAAGGCGACGAUCCCUAGCUGGUUUGAGAGGAUGAUCAGCCACACUGGAACUGAGACACGGUCCAGACUCCUACGGGAGGCAGCAGUGGGGAAUAUUGGACAAUGGGCGCAAGCCUGAUCCAGCCAUGCCGCGUGUGUGAAGAAGGCCUUCGGGUUGUAAAGCACUUUCAGUAAGGAGGAAGCGUUGAGUGUUAAUAGUACUCAGCGUUGACGUUACUUACAGAAGAAGCACCGGCUAACUCUGUGCCAGCAGCCGCGGUAAUACAGAGGGUGCAAGCGUUAAUCGGAAUUACUGGGCGUAAAGCGCACGUAGGCGGUUUUUUAAGUCAGAUGUGAAAGCCCCGGGCUCAACCUGGGAAUUGCAUUUGAAACUGGAAAACUAGAGUGUGUGAGAGGGGGGUAGAAUUCCAAGUGUAGCGGUGAAAUGCGUAGAGAUUUGGAGGAAUACCAGUGGCGAAGGCGGCCCCCUGGCACAACACUGACGCUCAGG